UGAACGCUGGCGGCAGGCCUAACACAUGCAAGUCGAACGGUAACAGGAAGCAGCUUGCUGCUUCGCUGACGAGUGGCGGACGGGUGAGUAAUGUCUGGGAAACUGCCUGAUGGAGGGGGAUAACUACUGGAAACGGUAGCUAAUACCGCAUAACGUCGCAAGACCAAAGAGGGGGACCUUCGGGCCUCUUGCCAUCGGAUGUGCCCAGAUGGGAUUAGCUAGUAGGUGGGGUAACGGCUCACCUAGGCGACGAUCCCUAGCUGGUCUGAGAGGAUGACCAGCCACACUGGAACUGAGACACGGUCCAGACUCCUACGGGAGGCAGCAGUGGGGAAUAUUGCACAAUGGGCGC
Molecule: ribosomal RNA, 352 nt
Filed under: Escherichia coli
Lineage: Bacteria; Pseudomonadati; Pseudomonadota; Gammaproteobacteria; Enterobacterales; Enterobacteriaceae
Description: bacterial SSU rRNA
Rfam family: Bacterial small subunit ribosomal RNA
Source: RNAcentral